AUUCAUUUCAAAUUUAACAAAUGGGAUCACUCAAAUAUGACAUGUCACAUUUAUCCAAAUUUGAGAAGAAAAAAAAUUCUAAUCCGUGUCACGCUGUCGUUUUCUGCCAUUAUUAAAUUGUUAAAGAACUUCAACCAAAAUUUGGAAGAAUAAAAAUUUCCAAAAAAUAAAGAAGAAAAGAACGUUGUUUUUCACGACGCACUGUGAAUUAUGAGGGUGACCAUCUGUUUGUCCACAUGGGAAAAGCAUCUUUUCUCAAAUCAUCCCAGGCAAAAACGUGAAUCUGGGCAUUAUCAUUCUCGCCAUACCAUCUCGUGGGGAAAAAACAGAAAGAGAGUUCAGUCCCUUUACGCAUCCAAACAAUGACACUGACCCUUGACAUGAUUUUCAUAUCACACGUCCAAAUACCCUUUUGAAGCCUUCAGUUUUGUAGAACAAACCUGCAUAAGCAUCAGAUGGAUAUGGAUAUACAGUGUGUGCUUGCUUUUUCAGAUCUGCGCCUCCUGUUUGAGCUGUCUUUAAGCUGUAAUGUACACCCACCCCACCUCUGAUUACUCCUUUAGUGGGCUUUCUCAUGAUUCAUUUCAAAUUUUAUGAUAAUUAUACGACAGAGACAGUCGGCUUCUUACACUUACGUAAGUCAUAAACUACCGACAGAGUUAAUCAUAGUUAAAUAACUCUAAACUCAAAUUUGAAAG
Molecule: long non-coding RNA, 698 nt
Filed under: Ricinus communis (castor bean)
Lineage: Eukaryota; Viridiplantae; Streptophyta; Magnoliopsida; Malpighiales; Euphorbiaceae
Description: long non-coding RNA (RCOM_LNC003268)
Source: RNAcentral